RNAcentral lists this ribosomal RNA (434 nucleotides) under uncultured Alphaproteobacteria bacterium. RNAcentral describes it as "bacterial SSU rRNA". It matches the Rfam family "Bacterial small subunit ribosomal RNA", at positions 930 to 1497 of the family's 1533-position model. The record is from RNAcentral. Lineage: Bacteria; Pseudomonadati; Pseudomonadota; Alphaproteobacteria.
CGGUGGAGCAUGUGGUUUAAUUCGACACAACGCGCAGAACCUUACCAGGCCUUGACAUCCCGUGCUAAGCCCAGAGAUGGGGCCCGCGCGAACAGGUGUGACGAGCGCGACCCUCGCCUUUAGUUGCCAUCGGGAUGUCAAGUCUCAUGGCCCUUACGGCCUGGCUACAUACAUGGCGGUGACAUGGGCAGCGACCACGCGAGUGGAUGCGUCCCAAAAAACCGUCCCAGUUCAGAUUGCACUGCAACUCGGGUGCAUGAAGGUGGAAUCGCUAGUAAUCGAGAACAGCAGGCUGCGGUGAAUACGUUCCCGGGCCUUGUACACACCGCCGUCACACCAUGGGAGUUGGCUCUACCCGAAGACGGUGUGCUAACCUCGCAAGAGGAGGCAGCCGGCCACGUCGGGUCAGCGACUGGGGUGAAGUCGUACAAGGU